Molecule: long non-coding RNA, 235 nt
Organism: Austrofundulus limnaeus
Lineage: Eukaryota; Metazoa; Chordata; Actinopteri; Cyprinodontiformes; Rivulidae
Exons: 2
Source: RefSeq, a predicted model, not a curated record
GUGACUUUGUUUAACCUUUGUGCAAUAUUUCCUCCCUUAGCUGUUUGUUUUUACUGAUGGAGAGGUGGGGAACACCAAAGAUGUUAUAGAUCUUGUUAAGAAGAAUGCAGGCUCUCACAGGUGUUUCUCUUUUGGGAUUGGAGAAGGAGCCAGCUCUGCUCUCAUCAAUGGGCUGGCCAAGGAGGGAGGAGGUCAUCCUCAGUUCAUCUCUGGAACUGACAGAAUGCAGGCAAAA